Long non-coding RNA from Ostrea edulis (European flat oyster), 904 nucleotides. RefSeq lists it as uncharacterized. The transcript has 2 exons. The record is from RefSeq and is a predicted model, not a curated record. NCBI's taxonomy places the organism in Eukaryota, Metazoa, Mollusca, Bivalvia, Ostreida, Ostreidae.
UUCCUAUUUCUACAGAUACCUAUGAUCAUUACCGGGUUCCCUUCUCUACCAUAAGCGGGUAAUGAUUGAAUUAGGGACUUCAUUGGAUUGAGCAAUGACUGCACACGGCGCUGUGGAUUGGACUACUAUACUAGCAGAAGAAAUUUCCAUGAAUAAAUGCAUGUAUACUACGUAACAUUUUGUACCUCUGAGAAUGAAAAGAUAACGUUAAUCUUUCUUACAGACAUCUUAAAGUAAAAAAAGCGUGCGUGUCGACUACAGCAGGAAGUCAAGUGAAUGGAUAAAGCAGAGUGACUGAUUUCCAGAUGUAUAGAUUUAAUCUUUUUACAUCACACCGUAGAAGAAUCGAUAAUGUCGAAAAUCGCUACUAAACCUGUCCAAAACGUUAGAUAAUGACUUCUUUAAACGAUCUAUGAAAUCCCUUUUGAUAACCUCUUGUGUACUUUUUUAAAAUCCUUCCUCAAGUUCAAUGUGGCAGCACAGACCAAUAAAGUCCUUAUCUGAGUAAUACAGUUACAUAGGAUAUUCAAAGUCAGACAGCUCGGAUUGCGCUUCGAUCGGGACGGGCGCAAUCGCUCAGAUCAUCUCUUGUGUAUUGAAUGAUGUGCUGUUAGGGCUGCAGCUUACGGAAACAGCCGGAUUUGCAGACCAGACCAAACUCCGAAACGAAACCAUGUAAGUGGUAGUCUACUGUGAAAAAAGCUUUUCUAUAUGUUCCAGUUCUUAAUAUCCGGGGCAGGGAUUGGAAAUUCAUUACACUGGAGUGCCUGCUCUGUUUCUUUUCCACAGACAUUAAAAAAUGGCAACCGAUCUUAUCCAUGUAUUCCUCAUAACCUGCUUUGUCGACUUCCAUUAUAAGUGCCUCAAUAAAGCAAGAGGUCCAUGAGCCCCAAUGCUCAUCUGA